Molecule: unclassified non-coding RNA, 404 nt
Filed under: soil metagenome
Description: partial contains 5.8S ribosomal RNA, internal transcribed spacer 2, and large subunit ribosomal RNA
Rfam family: 5.8S ribosomal RNA (bases 1-122)
Source: RNAcentral
GAUGAAGAACGUAGCAAAAUGCGAUACUUGGUGUGAAUUGCAGAAUCCCGUGAACCAUCGAGUUUUUGAACGCAAGUUGCGCCCGAAGCCUUUUGGCCGAGGGCACGUCUGCCUGGGCGUCACGCAUCGCGUCGCCCCCCACAAUUCUCCGUAAAGGGAACAUGUGUUUUGGGGGCGGAUAUUGGUCUCCCGUGCUCAUGGCGUGGUUGGCCGAAAUAGGAGUCCUUUCGAUGGACGCACGAACUAGUGGUGGUCGUAAAAACCCUCGUCUUUUGUUUCGUGCUGUUGGUCGCAAGGUAAACUCUUUAAAAACCCCACUGUGUCGUCUCUUGACGACGCUUCGACCGCGACCCCAGGUCAGGCGGGACUACCCGCUGAGUUUAAGCAUAUCAAUAAGCGGAGGA